AGAGUUUGAUCAUGGCUCAGGACGAACGCUGGCGGCGUGCCUAACACAUGCAAGUCGAGCGGAGGUACAAUGAGAGCAAUCGAGAUGUACUUUAGCGGCGGACGGGUGAGUAACGCGUGAGCAACCUGCCUAUCACAGGGGGAUAAGGCGGCGAAAGCCGCUCUAAUACCGCAUGAGACCCUCAAAGCGAUGCAAUGGGGGUGAAAGGAGCGAUCCGGUGAGAGAUGGGCUCGCGUCCGAUUAGGUAGUUGGUAGGGUAAGGGCCUACCAAGCCAAUGAUCGGUAGCCGGCCUGAGAGGGUGAACGGCCACAUUGGAACUGAGAGACGGUCCAAACUCCUACGGGAGGCAGCAGUGGGGAAUAUUGGGCAAUGGGCGGAAGCCUGACCCAGCAACGCCGCGUGAGGGAAGAAGGUUUUCGGAUUGUAAACCUCUGUUCUUGGGGAAGAGGAAGAGACGGUACCCAAGGAGGAAGCCCCGGCUAACUACGUGCCAGCAGCCGCGGUAAUACGUAGGGGGCGAGCGUUGUCCGGAAUGAUUGGGCGUAAAGGGCGCGCAGGCGGCCUGUCAAGUCAGUAGUGGAAGUCCAUUUUUCAAGGAUGGAAGUGCUAUAGAAACUGAUGGGCUUGAGUGCAGGAGAGGUUAUCGGAAUUCCCGGUGUAGCGGUGAAAUGCGUAGAGAUCGGGAGGAACACCAGUGGCGAAGGCGGGUAACUGGACUGCAACUGACGCUGAGGCGCGAAAGUGUGGGGAGCAAACAGGAUUAGAUACCCUGGUAGUCCACACUGUAAACGAUGAAUGCUAGGUGUAGGGGGUAUCGACCCCUUCUGUGCCGAAGUAAACACAAUAAGCAUUCCGCCUGGGGAGUACGGUCGCAAGAUUAAAACUCAAAGGAAUUGACGGGGGCCCGCACAAGCAGCGGAGCAUGUGGUUUAAUUCGAAGC
Molecule: ribosomal RNA, 942 nt
Filed under: uncultured bacterium
Lineage: Bacteria
Description: bacterial SSU rRNA
Rfam family: Bacterial small subunit ribosomal RNA
Source: RNAcentral